GUCGCCUCCUAAAAGGUAACGGAGGCGCUCAAAGGUUCCCUCAGAAUGGUUGGAAAUCAUUCAUAGAGUGUAAAGGCAUAAGGGAGCUUGACUGCGAGACCUACAAGUCGAGCAGGGUCGAAAGACGGACUUAGUGAUCCGGUGGUUCCGCAUGGAAGGGCCAUCGCUCAACGGAUAAAAGCUACCCCGGGGAUAACAGGCUUAUCUCCCCCAAGAGUUCACAUCGACGGGGAGGUUUGGCACCUCGAUGUCGGCUCAUCGCAUCCUGGGGCUGUAGUCGGUCCCAAGGGUUGGGCUGUUCGCCCAUUAAAGCGGUACGCGAGCUGGGUUCAGAACGUCGUGAGACAGUUCGGUCCCUAUCCGUCGUGGGCGUAGGAAAUUUGAGAGGAGCUGUCCUUAGUACGAGAGGACCGGGAUGGACAUACCUCUGGUG
RNAcentral lists this ribosomal RNA (433 nucleotides) under Staphylococcus aureus. Its description in RNAcentral is "partial 23S ribosomal RNA". It matches the Rfam family "Bacterial large subunit ribosomal RNA", at positions 2282 to 2714 of the family's 2925-position model. Lineage: Bacteria; Bacillati; Bacillota; Bacilli; Caryophanales; Staphylococcaceae. The record is from RNAcentral.